CGGGUGGUCCGGGCGGCCUGGAGGCAGUGAAGUGAGGGCUUAGGAGGGUGCCUAGGGGCUCCCUGGGGGGUGAGAGGGCCCAGGGCUGCAGUCACGGACCUCUUCUGCAGGGUGCGACUGUGCCCCAUGUGGGACAGAGGCCUGCGACCCCCACAGCGGGCACUGCCUGUGCAAGGCGGGUGUGACUGGGCGGCGCUGUGACCGCUGUCAGGAGGGACAUUUUGGUUUUGAUGGCUGCGGGGGCUGCCGCCCGUGUGCUUGUGGACCGGCCGCCGAGGGCUCCGAGUGCCACCCCCAGAGCGGACAGUGCCACUGCCGACCAGGGACCAUGGGACCCCAGUGCCGCGAGUGUGCCCCUGGCUACUGGGGGCUCCCUGAGCAGGGCUGCAGGCGCUGCCACUGCCCUGGGGGCCGCUGUGACCCUCACACGGGCCGCUGCAACUGCCCCCCGGGGCUCAGCGGGGAGCGCUGCGACACCUGCAGCCAGCAGCAUCAGGUGCCUGUUCCAGGCGGGCCUGUGGGCCACAGCAUCCACUGUGAAG
RNAcentral lists this long non-coding RNA (542 nucleotides) under Pan troglodytes (chimpanzee). Its description in RNAcentral is "long non-coding RNA NONPTRT009316". The record is from RNAcentral. Lineage: Eukaryota; Metazoa; Chordata; Mammalia; Primates; Hominidae.